UACGUAGGUGGCAAGCGUUGUCCGGAAUUAUUGGGCGUAAAGCGCGCGCAGGCGGUCCUUUAAGUCUGAUGUGAAAGCCCACGGCUCAACCGUGGAGGGUCAUUGGAAACUGGGGGACUUGAGUGCAGAAGAGGAGAGCGGAAUUCCACGUGUAGCGGUGAAAUGCGUAGAGAUGUGGAGGAACACCAGUGGCGAAGGCGGCUCUCUGGUCUGUAACUGACGCUGAGGCGCGAAAGCGUGGGGGGCAAACAGG
Molecule: ribosomal RNA, 253 nt
Filed under: uncultured bacterium
Lineage: Bacteria
Description: partial 16S ribosomal RNA
Rfam family: Bacterial small subunit ribosomal RNA
Source: RNAcentral